RNAcentral lists this unclassified non-coding RNA (297 nucleotides) under uncultured Rhizomucor. RNAcentral describes it as "partial contains 18S rRNA, ITS1 and 5.8S rRNA". The stretch from base 1 to 45 matches the Rfam family "Eukaryotic small subunit ribosomal RNA", at positions 1786 to 1831 of the family's 1831-position model. Lineage: Eukaryota; Fungi; Mucoromycota; Mucoromycetes; Mucorales; Mucoraceae. The record is from RNAcentral.
AAGUCGUAACAAGGUUUCCGUAGGUGACCUGCGGAAGGAUCAUUAAAUAAUUUAGAUGGCCUCCUAGAACUUGUUCUAGUUAGGUUCAUUCUUUUUUACUGUGAACUGUUUUAAUUUUCAGUGUUUGAGGAAUGUCUUUUAGUCAUAGGGAUAGACUAUUAGAAUGUUAACCGAGCUGAAGUCAGGUUUAGACCUGGUAUCCUAUUAAUUAUUUACCAAAAGAAUUCAGUAUUAUUAUUGUAACAUAAGCGUAAAAAACUUAUAAAACAACUUUUAACAACGGAUCUCUUGGUUCUC